UCACUGCAUGCAGUAUUAGGGCGUAGCAAAAUUAUUUGCUACAUUAUAUAUUAACAUAUAUUAUCACGUUGUAAGCACUAUGCCAUUAUCGUGCAAUAUAGCUUAGGAAACAUAACCAUCUAAUGUGAAAACAUUAAAUAAGUACAACGUACUGCAUUAUUAAACUAGAAUGUAGAUCAUGCCUAGACAUGGAUCGCUUAAUCGCGUGACUUGUAAUUAAAAGUGAGCAAAUUCUUUUGAUUUACAUUUCAAUCACCCCUUUAGGUGGGCUAACUUCGAUUGUGAUAGCGUUUAAUUAUUCUUUUAAAAUAUACAUAAUUCGCCACAUACAGAGAAG
Paramuricea clavata is the source of this 337-nucleotide non-coding RNA. The record is from the annotation of a GenBank genome assembly. Lineage: Eukaryota; Metazoa; Cnidaria; Anthozoa; Malacalcyonacea; Plexauridae.